CCUACGGGAGGCAGCAGUGGGGAAUAUUGGACAAUGGGCGAAAGCCUGAUCCAGCAAUGCCGCGUGAGUGAUGAAGGCCUUAGGGUUGUAAAGCUCUUUUACCAGGGAUGAUAAUGACAGUACCUGGAGAAUAAGCUCCGGCUAACUCCGUGCCAGCAGCCGCGGUAAUACGGAGGGAGCUAGCGUUGUUCGGAAUUACUGGGCGUAAAGCGUACGUAGGCGGUUAUUCAAGUCAGAGGUGAAAGCCUGGAGCUCAACUCCAGAACUGCCUUUGAAACUAGAUAGCUAGAAUCUUGGAGAGGUGAGUGGAAUUCCGAGUGUAGAGGUGAAAUUCGUAGAUAUUCGGAAGAACACCAGUGGCGAAGGCGACUCACUGGACAAGUAUUGACGCUGAGGUACGAAAGCGUGGGGAGCAAACAGGAUUAGAUACCCUGGUAGUCCACGCCGUAAACGAUGAUAACUAGCUGUUCGGGCUCUACGAGCUUGAGUGGCGCNGCUACGCAUUAAGUUAUCCGCCGUCGGGAGGUACGGUCGCAGAAUUAAACUUAAAUAGAGUAGUACGCGNGAGACGUGCCGACGACGACGACGAGGGAGGUUAGG
RNAcentral lists this ribosomal RNA (600 nucleotides) under uncultured bacterium. RNAcentral describes it as "bacterial SSU rRNA". The stretch from base 1 to 517 matches the Rfam family "Bacterial small subunit ribosomal RNA", at positions 338 to 873 of the family's 1533-position model. The record is from RNAcentral.